AUACCUAAAAGUUGCAAAGGGGAGAUACUUUGAUCAUGAAGGAGAGUUUCCCAGAACCAGCUUCUUCCAUUGCACUCUGGUUGUGCCCAUCCAUGUGAUCUCCCUGAAUACAGGAAACUCCACUGCAUAAUUUGUGAUAAUAAUUCUGCAUAAAUUC
This 157-nucleotide small nuclear RNA is filed under the name Pogona vitticeps (central bearded dragon). RNAcentral's name for it is "U1 spliceosomal RNA (ENSPVIG00000006595.1)". It matches the Rfam family "U1 spliceosomal RNA". Rfam says of the family: U1 is a small nuclear RNA (snRNA) component of the spliceosome (involved in pre-mRNA splicing). Its 5' end forms complementary base pairs with the 5' splice junction, thus defining the 5' donor site of an intron. There are significant differences in sequence and secondary structure between metazoan and yeast U1 snRNAs, the latter being much longer (568 nucleotides as compared to 164 nucleotides in human). Lineage: Eukaryota; Metazoa; Chordata; Lepidosauria; Squamata; Agamidae. The record is from RNAcentral.